UGACAGGCUCUUUUUAGAGCCACAUAUAACAGGGUGUAAAAAAUAA
Non-coding RNA from Operophtera brumata (winter moth), 46 nucleotides. Lineage: Eukaryota; Metazoa; Arthropoda; Insecta; Lepidoptera; Geometridae. The record is from Rfam.